UUCUUUGUUCAUUGUCAGCUGCUUUUAUCAAAUUCCAGGCCAUUAUCCAGCAAACACUAGAGAAAUUUGAACACCUGGAUUUCAAACAUUUUUUUCAGUUUGUGGAGUGGUGCUACCAGUGGUACCGUUCUAAGCAAGCAGGCA
Non-coding RNA from Tursiops truncatus (common bottlenose dolphin), 144 nucleotides. Lineage: Eukaryota; Metazoa; Chordata; Mammalia; Artiodactyla; Delphinidae. The record is from Rfam.